AGCAGUAGCCGCGGUAAUACGAAGGGUGCAAGCGUUACUCGGAAUUACUGGGCGUAAAGCGUGCGUAGGUGGUGGUUUAAGUCCGUUGUGAAAGCCCUGGGCUCAACCUGGGAAUUGCAGUGGAUACUGGGUCACUAGAGUGUGGUAGAGGAUAGUGGAAUUUCCGGUGUAGCAGUGAAAUGCGUAGAGAUCGGAAGGAACAUCUGUGGCGAAGGCGACUAUCUGGGCCAACACUGACACUGAGGCACGAAAGCGUGGGGAGCAAACAGGAUUAGAUACCCCCGUAGUCCAUGUCUCUUAUAC
This 303-nucleotide ribosomal RNA is filed under the name uncultured bacterium. Its description in RNAcentral is "partial 16S ribosomal RNA". It matches the Rfam family "Bacterial small subunit ribosomal RNA", at positions 507 to 807 of the family's 1533-position model. The record is from RNAcentral.